AUUAAAAAACAUUUAAAUGUAAUAUUUAGAUUAGAAUCAAAACAUAUACUGCUAGGCACAGUGUGGUGCAUGCCUGUAGUCCCAGAUGUUUGUACUAAGUUUGGCAUCAAUCUGGUGACCUUUUGGGAGCAGGAGACCACCAGGUUGCUUAAGGAGGGAUAAACCAACCCAGGCUGGAAAUGGAGUGAGUCAAAACUUCUAUGCUGAUCAGUGGUGAGAUCAUGCCUGUGAAUAGCCACUGUAUUUUAGCCUGGGUAACAUAGUGAAUCACUGUCUCUAU
This 280-nucleotide small RNA is filed under the name Carlito syrichta (Philippine tarsier). RNAcentral's name for it is "Metazoan signal recognition particle RNA (ENSTSYG00000036448.1)". The stretch from base 83 to 228 matches the Rfam family "Metazoan signal recognition particle RNA", at positions 103 to 248 of the family's 299-position model. Rfam says of the family: The signal recognition particle (SRP) is a universally conserved ribonucleoprotein. It is involved in the co-translational targeting of proteins to membranes. The record is from RNAcentral. Lineage: Eukaryota; Metazoa; Chordata; Mammalia; Primates; Tarsiidae.